GCCGGGGUGGCGGAAUGGCAGACGCGGCGGACUUAAAAUCCGCUUCCCGUAAAGGGAGUGUGGGUUCGAAUCCCACCCUCGGUACCA
Molecule: transfer RNA, 87 nt
Filed under: Chloroflexota bacterium
Lineage: Bacteria; Bacillati; Chloroflexota
Also listed under: 1 other name
Description: tRNA-Leu
Rfam family: tRNA
About the family: Transfer RNA (tRNA) molecules are approximately 80 nucleotides in length. Their secondary structure includes four short double-helical elements and three loops (D, anti-codon, and T loops). Further hydrogen bonds mediate the characteristic L-shaped molecular structure. tRNAs have two regions of fundamental functional importance: the anti-codon, which is responsible for specific mRNA codon recognition, and the 3' end, to which the tRNAs corresponding amino acid is attached (by aminoacyl-tRNA synthetases). tRNAs cope with the degeneracy of the genetic code in two manners: having more than one tRNA (with a specific anti-codon) for a particular amino acid; and 'wobble' base-pairing, i.e. permitting non-standard base-pairing at the 3rd anti-codon position.
Source: RNAcentral